This 505-nucleotide ribosomal RNA is filed under the name uncultured bacterium. RNAcentral's name for it is "partial 16S ribosomal RNA". It matches the Rfam family "Bacterial small subunit ribosomal RNA", at positions 28 to 507 of the family's 1533-position model. The record is from RNAcentral.
GACGAACGCUGGCGGCGUGCCUAAUACAUGCAAGUAGAACGCACAGUUUAUACCGUAGCUUGCUACACCAUAAACUGUGAGUUGCGAACGGGUGAGUAACGCGUAGGUAACCUGCCUGGUAGCGGGGGAUAACUAUUGGAAACGAUAGCUAAUACCGCAUAAUAUUGAUUAUUGCAUGAUAAUUGAUUGAAAGAUGCUAUUGCAUCACUACCAGAUGGACCUGCGUUGUAUUAGCUAGUAGGUGAGGUAACGGCUCACCUAGGCGACGAUACAUAGCCGACCUGAGAGGGUGAUCGGCCACCCUGGGACUGGGACACGGCCCAGACUCCUACGGGAGGCAGCAGUAGGGAAUCUUCGGCAAUGGACGAAAGUCUGACCGAGCAACGCCGCGUGAGUGAAGAAGGUUUUCGGAUCGUAAAGCUCUGUUGUAAGGGAAGAACGGGUGUGAGAGUGGAAAGUUCACACUGUGACGGUAUCUUACCAGAAAGGGACGGCUAACUACGUG